RNAcentral lists this ribosomal RNA (432 nucleotides) under uncultured bacterium. RNAcentral's name for it is "partial 16S ribosomal RNA". It matches the Rfam family "Bacterial small subunit ribosomal RNA", at positions 29 to 507 of the family's 1533-position model. The record is from RNAcentral.
ACGAACGCUGGCGGCAUGCCUAACACAUGCAAGUCGAACGAGACCUUCGGGUCUAGUGGCGCACGGGUGCGUAACGCGUGGGAAUCUGCCCUUGGGUUCGGAAUAACUCGCCGAAAGGCGUGCUAAUACCGGAUGAUGACGUAGGUCCAAAGAUUUAUCGCCCAAGGAUGAGCCCGCGUUGGAUUAGCUAGUUGGUGAGGUAAAGGCUCACCAAGGCGACGAUCCAUAGCUGGUCUGAGAGGAUGAUCAGCCACACUGGGACUGAGACACGGCCCAGACUCCUACGGGAGGCAGCAGUGGGGAAUAUUGGACAAUGGGCGAAAGCCUGAUCCAGCAAUGCCGCGUGAGUGAUGAAGGCCUUAGGGUUGUAAAGCUCUUUUACCCGGGAUGAUAAUGACCGUACCGGGAGAAUAAGCUCCGGCUAACUCCGUG